GGUUUAAAUUGUGAUUUGGACCCCUGCAUUUAUCCCAACAGCAGCUCAGCACCUUCCUGUCUAGAAUACCAUGAAUACAGGUUAUGCGUAUCGAAAAGGCUCCUCUGUUUGGACAGCUUUGAUUGGGGAACAGAAGGAAUCUGUGUAUUUAUUGACUAUCAAAAUCUUUAGUGACGAGUGUCGCGAAAAAUGCUAUGUUGAUUUGGACUGAACCCUUAUCAGCAUAAAUGUCAACAUAUGUGUCUUGUAUUAUGAAAUGCCUAUACCAGUAGGUCAAAUCAUACAACAGUAGGAAGAUAGCUCAAAAUAUGUAUUUUCUGUGUAACAAAAUAUUAUUUUAGUUUUUCUUUUAACUUUUUUAAAACUAAUCAUAGUUAACACAAAAGAACUAAACAUUAUUGUAUUAUUUAAACAAUUAGACCAUUAUGCCAACGGAUAUGAAAAAAUAUAUGAAUAAUGUGAGAGUUGGCAAGCUAAGCUUGAAGAAGCUCAAUGCAAAUAAUUUUUAAAAAUUUCGUACAUUAAAUAAAAUCAAAUUAGCAAAAUAUGUUUUUACUGAUUACUAAUUAUUCAAGAUCUUUCAAUCUAAUUAAACGUAUUUAAUUAAUAAUGUUUAUAGAACUUUUUUUUAAACUUAUGUUUGUGUUUUUAUUAUGAAAGAGUUUUUUGUUGUAAAACGGCAAUGAAAAAUGCAUAUUUAUAAAAUUGAUAUUUCAUAAAAUCUAAAUAAACAAAAAUGUGUUAGUUCCAGGGUAAGUUAAGAUUCAAAAUUAUUUUAAUGAA
Physella acuta is the source of this 783-nucleotide long non-coding RNA. RefSeq lists it as uncharacterized. The record is from RefSeq and is a predicted model, not a curated record. NCBI's taxonomy places the organism in Eukaryota, Metazoa, Mollusca, Gastropoda, Physidae.